UACGUAGGGGGCAAGCGUUGUCCGGAGUUACUGGGCGUAAAGCGCACGCAGGCGGUCUGUUAAGUUUGGAGUGACAGUUGGUGGCUUAACUGCCAAAGUGCUUUAACGUAGACAAGACUUGAGGGCUUCAGAGGGACACGGAAUUCCGGGUGGAGUGGUGAAAUGCGUAGAGAUCCGGAGGAACACCAGAGGAAGGCAGUGUCCUGGGGAGUACCUGACGCUCAGGUGCGAAAGCCAGGGGAGCGAACGGG
RNAcentral lists this ribosomal RNA (251 nucleotides) under uncultured bacterium. Its description in RNAcentral is "partial 16S ribosomal RNA". It matches the Rfam family "Bacterial small subunit ribosomal RNA", at positions 524 to 776 of the family's 1533-position model. The record is from RNAcentral.